This 105-nucleotide ribosomal RNA is filed under the name Chondrus crispus (carragheen). Its description in RNAcentral is "partial small subunit ribosomal RNA". The record is from RNAcentral. RNAcentral also lists the same sequence under 1 other name. Lineage: Eukaryota; Rhodophyta; Florideophyceae; Gigartinales; Gigartinaceae.
UUAACGAGCGAGACUUGGGCGUGCUAGCUAGGCGCUGUUACCAUUUCCGGUAGCGAGGCGGCCUUCCUAGACGGACUGCGGGCGUCUAGUCCGCGGAAGCUCCAG